This 253-nucleotide ribosomal RNA is filed under the name uncultured bacterium. RNAcentral describes it as "partial 16S ribosomal RNA". It matches the Rfam family "Bacterial small subunit ribosomal RNA", at positions 524 to 776 of the family's 1533-position model. The record is from RNAcentral.
UACAGAGGGUGCGAGCGUUAAUCGGAAUUACUGGGCGUAAAGCGCACGCAGGCGGCUUGGUAUGUCGGGUGUGAAAUCCCCGGGCUCAACCUGGGAACUGCAUCCGAAACUGCCUUGCUCGAGUAUGGGAGAGGGAAGUGGAAUUUCCGGUGUAGCGGUGAAAUGCGUAGAUAUCGGAAGGAACAUCAGUGGCGAAGGCGGCGCUCUGGGCCGGUAUUGACGCUGAGGAGCGAAAGCGUGGGUAGCAAACAGG